Dama dama (fallow deer) is the source of this 2389-nucleotide long non-coding RNA. RefSeq lists it as uncharacterized. The record is from RefSeq and is a predicted model, not a curated record. The transcript has 4 exons. Lineage: Eukaryota; Metazoa; Chordata; Mammalia; Artiodactyla; Cervidae.
GUUCUCCUGGUGCGUUACACCAGAGGCCCACAGUUGAUGGGUCAGCUAUUUGUAAUGUUUGAUCAACAGGGCAGGCCUGACUCCAGUGCUACAGUUCCCACAAACUUCCACUGAAAUAUUUGAGCAGCCAGUGAUUCCGAUCUUCACCUGGGUUUAUUCUUGCCUCUGGGCUAGAAUUUAAUCGUUUCUCCUAUGCUUAUUCACCAUGAUUCUUCUCUAAAGAACUUUCCCUGAAAUAAAAUCCAUUCAGAAAAAGGCAGGAUAAAAUCAAAGGGAGGAGAGGCAGGUUUAAUGCAAGGAGGAGGAAGCCAACAACUAAUUCCAGACCCAUGGUCUCCAAUAAAUGGCAUUUAAAAAAAAAAGAAAGGAAGACAGAACUGACUUGGGAUAUGUAACCCAAAGGCAAGGCGUGGAUUUUGUUCACCUCCUACUUUUCAACUUAACUUUUUCUAAAAAGCCAUUUUGGGGCCGAGGAAGGGAAUGAACAGGGACAAGCUAUGUCCUAGAGUAUAUCAAGGACUAGCUAUUGAUUUUGUUGGGUGCUUUCGUGAUUUUGUUAAGAGAUACACACUGAAGUAUUUAUGGAUAAAUGAAACAAUGUCAGAUUUGCUCUAAAAUACACCAGCAACAUAAGUAGGUAAGGGACUUCCCUGGUGGUCCAGUGGUCACGCUCCCAAUGCAGGGGGCGAGGGCUCAAUCUCUGGUUGGGGAGCUAAGAUCCUACAUGCAUCACAAAGCAGAAAAAAGAAAAAUUAAGUAAGUGCAUGUGGGCGAUGAAGACACAGAUCAGUGGAAUACAGAUCUCUGCUGAAUCUGGGUGACAGGAACCCUCUGGCCCUUAUUGAUUCCUGAAUAUUCAGGAAUUAAGAGGAGAGACACGCCUUUCCCGGGGCUGAGGAAUCCAGGCAUUUCUCAUUACGGUGACCACCAGGUUCCUGUCCAUUAAAGGACCAACAAGUGGCACCCGAACAGGGACUCUGGUACACGUGGCUUCGGACGGAGUGACCCCCAAGACCUAUUGAGGCCGCUCACAGCCUAUACCACAAGCUGAGGUUUUUUAUAUAGAUGAGACUAAAAUCACUCCAAAUUUUUGUUGUGAAGAGACAAAGAACCGAGGAGCAUACCCUCGCGUGACAAAGUCCUUUCAUUGCCUGGGCCCAGGAAAAUUAUACAUAAACGUCGGCCAACAAACUUGGGCUUUCGUCCUGCCUCCAAAAGAAGACUUUCGGACACUGCUGCCCUUUUUCUGUCGGUGAACCAUGUUUACUACUGAAACUUUAGGGAAAGAGUUAGGGAAAGAACAAAAAACAUUAUGUAAAAGGUUACUAACACAAGAUUGGAACAUUACCAUGACAAAGAACUUCUUGGCUGACACCCUCCUCCUCCUCCUCAAAUCAUCCUCGACAAACAAAUUGGGCCUGAACUAGAGACAUAUAAAACAUAUGGAAACUUGCUGCCAGCACCAAAGAACUUGGGACUUGGACCGGACAUUUCACAGAGACCAGUCGUGGUCAUAGUAACUAUUUCUUUCUCUAUAAUCAGUCAUAUUUUAUACAGGCCUGUGUCCCACUUCCUUUUGUUAUAGCCAUAAGAAAUUUACAACUUGAUCUGUAACUUGUAUUAAUUACCAAUUUUGUGUUACUCCUGUUCAUUUCAAUCAUAGUACCUACAGCUGGGAACAAAUCAAAUUUCAUUUACUUGAUAAUGCCUCUCUGAAUGUACAAUUACUGCAGAAAGGAAAUCUUUAAAACUUUUUCUAAACAUCUGCCCUCUUCCACUAAUUUGGAAACUUUAGCUGAACAAAUUAUUCGGGCUAGACCCACAAAGAUGGUUUCAAAGUAUUACCCACAACAUCGGGUCUAAAACUGUAACUUUGGUAAUUGUCUUGAUAAUUGUAUUUGUUGUUUAUCGUCUCCUUUCUAUAUGGUUGGUUAAUACUAACCAAACUCAUUUGGUCAAGACCUCUUUUUUUUUUACAAAUAUAAUAAAAUAGGGGGAAUUGUCAGGAAGCAUUUAACAAAAGGUUUCCUGUGUGCUGUUUUGGAUCUGUCAGGAACCCUCUGGCCCUUACUGAUUCCUGAAUAUUCAGGAAUUAAGAGGAGAGACACGCCUUUCCCGGGGCUGAGGAAUCCAGGCAUUUCUCAUUACGGUGAUAAGUACCCUCUUCCUUUUUAUGAGCCAUACGGUGAAAGGUGAUUGUUUGCAACUCUCUCUCUUUGAUAGGGAUCGUCUUACUUUUCGUAAAUCUGGAAUUUUAAUCUUUGUCUUUGCUGAGAAGAACCACCUUGUAAGACAGUAUAUGCCCACGCCAUGUUGAUUAAAACACCUUUGCUCCAUCAGAGCUUUGGUCCCCGUGUCUGUCUUUCUUUCUUUCUAUUCCUUCUUUUUG